AGACGUGCACGUGGAUGACUUGGGUCAACUAACUGCGCACAUUGCUUUACUGAUUUGCUUUCAAGCGGUUGUUCUGCCGUGAGCUCGACUGUAUUAGAGUUUUUGAGGUAUGACGAAAUCGCAAGCAGACGGCCAAUGUCCUUCAAAACCAGAUCCGCCCCGUACUAGUCCUCCCAAAAGCAGAGAACAUGGGUUUCCUAGUUCUUCGGAUCCUAAUCGUCAGCCUAAGCUUCGAUGAGAGCAGAUCUAGAGCAACAAGCCGAUACUGUUGUUCAGAAGUGGAUUACGAUGACGCUGUGUUGUUAGUACUGGAGUUUUAUGCAGCUAUUUCUAGCUAGUCAGUUUUAGUGUCGUUUGCUACAUGUUUGCGAGAAAGUUGAUGUCUAUGCAGUUGCAA
This is a long non-coding RNA of Corticium candelabrum, 397 nucleotides long. RefSeq lists it as uncharacterized. The transcript is spliced from 2 exons. The record is from RefSeq and is a predicted model, not a curated record. Lineage: Eukaryota; Metazoa; Porifera; Homoscleromorpha; Homosclerophorida; Plakinidae.